GACGAACGCUGGCGGCGUGCUUAACACAUGCAAGUCGAACGGGCCUGUCUUCUUUUUUGGGGGUGGUUGAGUGGCGAACGGGUGAGUAUCACGUGAGUAACCUGCCCUUCGGUCCUGGAUAACCGCUUGAAAGGGCGGCUAAUACGGGGUGGUCCGGUUGGUCCGCAUGGGCUGGUCGGGAUAGAUUCACUGUUUUUGGUGUUUCGGCGGGGGAUGGGCUCGCGGCCUAUCAGCUUGUUGGUGGGGUGAUGGCCUACCAAGGCGGUGACGGGUAGCCGGCCUGAGAGGGUGGGCGGCCACACUGGGACUGAGAUACGGCCCAGACUCCUGCGGGAGGCAGCAGUGGGGGGUAUUGCACAAUGGGCGGAAGCCUGAUGCAGCGACGUCGCGUGAGGGAUGGAGGCCUUCGGGUUGUGAACCUCUGUUUCCGGUGGUGAAGGCCCUGUCCGUGUGGUGGGGUUGACGGUAGCCGGGGAUGAAGCGCCGGCUAACUACGUG
Molecule: ribosomal RNA, 498 nt
Filed under: uncultured bacterium
Lineage: Bacteria
Description: partial 16S ribosomal RNA
Rfam family: Bacterial small subunit ribosomal RNA
Source: RNAcentral